UGAGACAUUGCAGUUUGAG
This 19-nucleotide non-coding RNA is filed under the name Mus musculus (house mouse). Lineage: Eukaryota; Metazoa; Chordata; Mammalia; Rodentia; Muridae. The record is from RNAcentral.